Molecule: ribosomal RNA, 539 nt
Filed under: Fusarium oxysporum
Lineage: Eukaryota; Fungi; Ascomycota; Sordariomycetes; Hypocreales; Nectriaceae
Description: eukaryotic LSU rRNA
Rfam family: 5.8S ribosomal RNA (bases 205-358)
Source: RNAcentral
UGAAGUAAAAAAGUCGUAACAAGGUCUCCGUUGGUGAACCAGCGGAGGGAUCAUUACCGAGUUUACAACUCCCAAACCCCUGUGAACAUACCACUUGUUGCCUCGGCGGAUCAGCCCGCUCCCGGUAAAACGGGACGGCCCGCCAGAGGACCCCUAAACUCUGUUUCUAUAUGUAACUUCUGAGUAAAACCAUAAAUAAAUCAAAACUUUCAACAACGGAUCUCUUGGUUCUGGCAUCGAUGAAGAACGCAGCAAAAUGCGAUAAGUAAUGUGAAUUGCAGAAUUCAGUGAAUCAUCGAAUCUUUGAACGCACAUUGCGCCCGCCAGUAUUCUGGCGGGCAUGCCUGUUCGAGCGUCAUUUCAACCCUCAAGCACAGCUUGGUGUUGGGACUCGCGUUAAUUCGCGUUCCUCAAAUUGAUUGGCGGUCACGUCGAGCUUCCAUAGCGUAGUAGUAAAACCCUCGUUACUGGUAAUCGUCGCGGCCACGCCGUUAAACCCCAACUUCUGAAUGUGACCUCGGAUCAGGUAGAAUGCCCCA